CCUACGGGAGGCAGCAGUGGGGAAUAUUGGGCAAUGGGCGCAAGCCUGACCCAGCAACGCCGCGUGAAGGAAGAAGGCUUUCGGGUUGUAAACUUCUUUUCUCAGGGACGAAACAAGUGACGGUACCUGAGGAAUAAGCCACGGCUAACUACGUGCCAGCAGCCGCGGUAAUACGGAGGUGGCAAGCGUUAUCCGGAUUUACUGGGUGUAAAGGGCGUGUAGGCGGGACGGCAAGUCAGAUGUGAAAACCAGGGGCUCAACCUUGGGACUGCAUUUGAAACUGUAGUUCUUGAGUACAGUAGAGGCAGGCGGAAUUCCUGGUGUAGCGGUGAAAUGCUUAGAUAUUAGGAGGAACACCAGUUGCGAAGGCAGUCUGCUGGACUGCAACUGACGCUGAGGCGCGAAAGCGUGGGGAGCAAACAGGAUUAGAUACCCUAGUAGUC
RNAcentral lists this ribosomal RNA (443 nucleotides) under uncultured bacterium. Its description in RNAcentral is "partial 16S ribosomal RNA". It matches the Rfam family "Bacterial small subunit ribosomal RNA", at positions 338 to 795 of the family's 1533-position model. The record is from RNAcentral.